Molecule: ribosomal RNA, 385 nt
Filed under: uncultured Methanosaeta sp.
Lineage: Archaea; Methanobacteriati; Methanobacteriota; Methanomicrobia; Methanotrichales; Methanotrichaceae
Description: bacterial SSU rRNA
Rfam family: Archaeal small subunit ribosomal RNA
Source: RNAcentral
AGGACGCUUCCUUCGGGAAGCGAGCGUACACAGGUGGUGCAUGGCCGUCGUCAGUUCGUACUGUGAAGCAUCCUGUUAAGUCAGGCAACGAGCGAGACCCACGUCCACAGUUGCCAGCAUACCCUCCGGGGUGAUGGGUACACUGUGGAGACCGCCGCUGCUAAAGCGGAGGAAGGAGUGGGCAACGGUAGGUCAGUAUGCCCCGAAUCUCCCGGGCUACACGCGGGCUACAAUGGUUGGUACAAUGGGCAUCUACCCCGAAAGGGGAAGGAAAUCUCUUAAAGCCAAUCGUAGUUCGGAUUGAGGGCUGCAACUCGCCCUCAUGAAGCUGGAAUCCGUAGUAAUCGCGUUUCAACAGAACGCGGUGAAUACGUCCCUGCUCCUU